This 479-nucleotide ribosomal RNA is filed under the name Bagrichthys obscurus. RNAcentral's name for it is "partial 12S ribosomal RNA". It matches the Rfam family "Bacterial small subunit ribosomal RNA", at positions 859 to 1533 of the family's 1533-position model. The record is from RNAcentral. Lineage: Eukaryota; Metazoa; Chordata; Actinopteri; Siluriformes; Bagridae.
ACAUACACAUCCGCCCGGGUACUACGAGCACAGCUUAAAACCCAAAGGACUUGGCGGUGUCUCAGACCCACCUAGAGGAGCCUGUUCUAGAACCGAUAACCCCCGUUAAACCUCACCACUUCUUGUUUCCCCCGCCUAUAUACCGCCGUCGUCAGCUUACCCUGUGAAGGCCUAACAGUAAGCAAAAUGGGCCCACCCAAAAACGUCAGGUCGAGGUGUAGCGUACGAAGUGGAAAGAAAUGGGCUACAUUUUCUAUAAAUAGAAUACUACGAAUGAUGUCUUGAAACAAACAUCUGAAGGUGGAUUUAGUAGUAAAAAGCAAACAGAGAGUCCUUUUGAAUUAGGCUCUGAGACGCGCACACACCGCCCGUCACUCUCCCCCCUUACAUACCGACAUAAUUCAUAAUAAACCACACAAAACCCACGGGGAGGCAAGUCGUAACAUGGUAAGUGUACCGGAAGGUGCACUUGGAAUAAU